RNAcentral lists this ribosomal RNA (603 nucleotides) under Uroconger sp. CIFE-GOK-Uro1. RNAcentral describes it as "partial large subunit ribosomal RNA". It matches the Rfam family "Bacterial large subunit ribosomal RNA", at positions 1840 to 2619 of the family's 2925-position model. Lineage: Eukaryota; Metazoa; Chordata; Actinopteri; Anguilliformes; Congridae. The record is from RNAcentral.
AAUGUAUUAGAGGGUCCCGCCCUGCCCUGUGACCAAAAGUUUAACGGCCGCGGUUAUCCUGACCGUGCGAAGGUAGCGCAAUCACUUGUCUUUUAAAUGAAGACCUGUAUGAAUGGCAUAACGAGGGUUUAACUGUCUCCUUUCCCCAGUCAAUGAAAUUGAUCUGCCCGUGCAGAAGCGGGCAUGAAAACAUAAGACGAGAAGACCCUAUGGAGCUUCAGGCCAAGGGCCAAACAUGUAAAAUAAACUAAACAAUAAGAAAUUUUAACAAAAAGUGAAAAACCAAAUGUAAAAUGGCCCAAGUGCCUUCGGUUGGGGCGACCAUGGGGAAAAAACAAACCCCCAAAUGGAAAGGGACAACCCUUAAACCAAGAAAAUUACUUCUAAGUAAUAGAACAUCUAACCAAAAAUGACCCAGAAAUUUAAUUCUGAUCAAUAAAACAAGUUACCCUAGGGAUAACAGCGCAAUCCUUUCCUAUAGUCCAUAUCGACGAAAGGGUUUACGACCUCGAUGUUGGAUCAGGACACCCUAAUGGUGCAGCCGCUAUUAAGGGUUCGUUUGUUCAACGAUUAAUAGUCCUACGUGAUCUGAGUUCAUACCGG